This 467-nucleotide ribosomal RNA is filed under the name uncultured bacterium. Its description in RNAcentral is "partial 16S ribosomal RNA". It matches the Rfam family "Bacterial small subunit ribosomal RNA", at positions 28 to 506 of the family's 1533-position model. The record is from RNAcentral.
GACGAACGCUGGCGGCGUGCUUAACACAUGCAAGUCGAACGGAAAGGCCCUGCUUUUGUGGGGUGCUCGAGUGGCGAACGGGUGAGUAACACGUGAGUAACCUGCCCUUGACUUUGGGAUAACUUCAGGAAACUGGGGCUAAUACCGGAUAGGAGCUCCUGCUGCAUGGUGGGGGUUGGAAAGUUUCGGCGGUUGGGGAUGGACUCGCGGCUUAUCAGCUUGUUGGUGGGGUAGUGGCUUACCAAGGCUUUGACGGGUAGCCGGCCUGAGAGGGUGACCGGCCACAUGGGGACUGAGAUACGGCCCAGACUCCUACGGGAGGCAGCAGUGGGGAAUAUUGCACAAUGGGCGGAAGCCUGAUGCAGCAACGCCGCGUGCGGGAUGACGGCCUUCGGGUUGUAAACCGCUUUCGCCUGUGACGAAGCGUGAGUGACGGUAAUGGGGAAAGAAGCACCGGCUAACUACGG